GUGCUCACUUCAGCAGCACAUACAUUAAAAUUAGAAUGAUACAGAGAUUAACAUGGCCCCUGUGUAAGGAUGACACACAAAUUCGUGAAGUGUUCCAUAUUAAA
Small nuclear RNA from Jaculus jaculus (lesser Egyptian jerboa), 104 nucleotides. The record is from Ensembl. Lineage: Eukaryota; Metazoa; Chordata; Mammalia; Rodentia; Dipodidae.